RNAcentral lists this long non-coding RNA (557 nucleotides) under Homo sapiens (human). Its description in RNAcentral is "non-protein coding lnc-NMT1-2:1". The record is from RNAcentral. Lineage: Eukaryota; Metazoa; Chordata; Mammalia; Primates; Hominidae.
CCAACAUGGCGAAACCCCAUCUCUACUAAAAAUACAAAAAUUAGCUGGGCGUGGUGGUGCAUGCCUGUAAUCCCACCUAUUCGGAAGGCUGAGGCAGGAGAAUUGCUUGAAUCUGGGAAGCGGAGGUUGCAGUGAGCAGAGAUCAUGCCACUCUGGACUCCAGCUUGGGCAACAAAGUGAGACUCCAUCUCAAAAAAAAAAAGGCCGGGUGUGGUGGCUCAUGCCUGUAAUCCCAGCACUUUGGGAGGCCAAGGCGGGAGGAUCACCUGAGGUCAGGAGUUCGAGACCAGCCUGACCAACAUGGAGAAACGCCAUUUCUACUAAAAAUACAAAAUUAGCCAGGCAUGGUGGCGCAUGCCUGUAAUCCCAGCUACUCGGGAGACUGAGGCAGGAGAAUUGCUUGAACCCGGGAGGCGGAGGUUGCGGUGAGCCUAGAUUGUGCCAUUGCACUCCAGCCUGGGCAACAAGAGCAAGACUCCAUCUCAAAAAAAAAAAAAAAAAAAAGCUCCCCUGGCAAACCAAGGGAUGACAUUACUGUUGGUGGCCUGGGAAUCUUC